This 425-nucleotide ribosomal RNA is filed under the name uncultured bacterium. Its description in RNAcentral is "partial 16S ribosomal RNA". It matches the Rfam family "Bacterial small subunit ribosomal RNA", at positions 354 to 796 of the family's 1533-position model. The record is from RNAcentral.
GUUAGGAAUAUUGGACAAUGGGCGAAAGCCUGAUCCAGCCAUGCCGCGUGAACGAUGAAGGCCUUCGGGUUGUAAAGUUCUUUAGCCGAUGAUUAUAAUGACUGUAGUCGGAAAAUAAGCCCCGGCUAACUUCGUGCCAGCAGCCGCGGUAAUACGAAGGGGGCGAGCGUUAUUCGGAAUCACUGGGCGUAAAGCGUGCGUAGGCGGUUUUGAAAGUUAGGAGUGAAAGCCCAGGGCUCAACCUUGGAAUUGCUCUUAAAACUGCAAGGCUCGAAUCUCGGAGAGGAUAGCGGAAUUUCCAGUGUAGCAGUGAAAUGCGUAGAUAUUGGAAGGAACACCAGUGGCGUAAGCGGCUAUCUGGACGAGUAUUGACGCUGAGGCACGAAAGCGUGGGGAUCAAACAGGAUUAGAUACCCGAGUAGUCC